CAGCAGCCGCGGUAAUGCGUAGGUGGCAAGCGUUGUCCGGAAUUAUUGGGCGUAAAGCGCGCGCAGGUGGUUUAAUAAGUCUGAUGUGAAAGCCCACGGCUCAACCGUGGAGGGUCAUUGGAAACUGUUAAACUUGAGUGCAGGAGAGAAAAGUGGAAUUCCUAGUGUAGCGGUGAAAUGCGUAGAGAUUAGGAGGAACACCAGUGGCGAAGGCGGCUUUUUGGCCUGUAACUGACACUGAGGCGCGAAAGCGUGGGGAGCAAACAGGAUUAGAUACCCGGGUAGUCCCUGUCUCUUAUAC
This 301-nucleotide ribosomal RNA is filed under the name uncultured bacterium. RNAcentral describes it as "partial 16S ribosomal RNA". It matches the Rfam family "Bacterial small subunit ribosomal RNA", at positions 509 to 807 of the family's 1533-position model. The record is from RNAcentral.